RNAcentral lists this ribosomal RNA (848 nucleotides) under Teratosphaeria ovata. RNAcentral describes it as "eukaryotic LSU rRNA". It matches the Rfam family "Eukaryotic large subunit ribosomal RNA", at positions 61 to 941 of the family's 3401-position model. Lineage: Eukaryota; Fungi; Ascomycota; Dothideomycetes; Mycosphaerellales; Teratosphaeriaceae. The record is from RNAcentral.
GAAACCAACAGGGAUUGCCCUAGUAACGGCGAGUGAAGCGGCAACAGCUCAAAUUUGAAAUCUGGCGCAAGCCCGAGUUGUAAUUUGUAGAGGAUGCUUCAGGGCAGCGGCCGGUCUAAGUUCCUUGGAACAGGACGUCAUAGAGGGUGAGAAUCCCGUAUGCGACCGGUUGGCACCCGUCACGUAGCUCCUUCGACGAGUCGAGUUGUUUGGGAAUGCAGCUCUAAAUGGGAGGUAAAUUUCUUCUAAAGCUAAAUACCGGCCAGAGACCGAUAGCGCACAAGUAGAGUGAUCGAAAGAUGAAAAGCACUUUGGAAAGAGAGUUAAAAAGCACGUGAAAUUGUUGAAAGGGAAGCGCAUGCAACCAGACUUGUCGGCGGUGUUCCGCCGGUCUUCUGACCGGUCUACUCGCCGCCGGCAGGCCAGCAUCAUCUGGGCGCGCCGGAUAAAGGCGUGGGGAAUGUAGCUCCUCGGAGUGUUAUAGCCCCGCGCACAAUACGGCGCCGCUCGGGUGAGGUCCGCGCUUCGGCUAGGAUGCUGGCGUAAUGGUUGUCUGCGGCCCGUCUUGAAACACGGACCAAGGAGUCUAACAUCUAUGCGAGUGUUCGGGUGUCAAACCCCUACGCGGAAUGAAAGUGAACGGAGGUGGGAAGCGCAAGCUGCACCAUCGACCGAUCCUGAUGUCUUCGGAUGGAUUUGAGUAAGAGCAUAGCUGUUGGGACCCGAAAGAUGGUGAACUAUGCCUGAAUAGGGUGAAGCCAGAGGAAACUCUGGUGGAGGCUCGCAGCGGUUCUGACGUGCAAAUCGAUCGUCAAAUUUGGGUAUAGGGGCGAAAGACUAAUCGAACC